This 416-nucleotide long non-coding RNA is filed under the name Dromaius novaehollandiae (emu). RNAcentral's name for it is "lncRNA (ENSDNVG00000002733.1)". The record is from RNAcentral. Lineage: Eukaryota; Metazoa; Chordata; Aves; Casuariiformes; Dromaiidae.
UGGCAAUAUCUACUUUUCAUCUGAACUUCAGAAAAGUUCUGUGCGGAAAACACAAACUCUUUUUAUUCAAAUAGAUGCCUCUACUUUGCAGAGCAUAUUCUGACUGGGAGCUAACUUCUGGAGGAGAACUGAACUGUGUGUGCCCAGCACUGUGUGGAAAGAGGAAUCAACCUGCCUGCAUCCACAAAAGCAAAAUGCUGCGUGCGUUGGGGAUGUUAUUGAGAGCAGAUGAAAGGCUUCCGGACUAGGAAAUACUGGGCGUGUGAAUUUUUGUCUCAGACUGGUGUGCCAUGUUCAUUCUUCUGAUAAGACUUUGUGGCAAAUGGAGGAGAACCAAAUCCCCCAACUACUUAGAAAUUAAAGCUAUACACUAGUGCAACAUCUACAGCAUUCUUAUAUAUAUUUAUAUGUAUAUA